Acinonyx jubatus (cheetah) is the source of this 4012-nucleotide long non-coding RNA. RefSeq lists it as uncharacterized. The transcript has 3 exons. The record is from RefSeq and is a predicted model, not a curated record. NCBI's taxonomy places the organism in Eukaryota, Metazoa, Chordata, Mammalia, Carnivora, Felidae.
UGAAUUUUAUACACUCAAGUUCAGGCUGAUCAGUUACAGUAAAAAACAAAACAAAACCUAUCUUGCACAAUUGCACUUGGGAAACAGGAAAGGACUACUGUUUUCCAGUCUAAGCCAGGAAUGCAUUGAUUACUUUGACCCUCAGAUGCUCUUGCUUCAUCAGAGGUCUAAGGAUAUUUUGUUUUCCUAAUAUCUGAGGUUGUCUUAUAUGCUCAGUGUUGUGUUAUAACAUCUUUUGAGUGACUUCAGUUUUCCUUAAUUUACAAGUAGAUAUUUAUGAACAAGUGAAAUGACUACCUAUGGCAAGGGACUUUGGUGUGGACUCCAUCUAUAACUUCAACACCAUAUGCUAGAAGUUCUUGGAGGGGACAUGUAUUAGUUAUGGUUCUCCAAAGAAACAGAACCAAUAGGAUGUCCAAAAUUUGCAGAGUGGGCCAGCAGGCUUGAGAUCCAGGCUGAGGACCCAGGGAAGAGCCAUUGUGGUAGUUCAAGUAUGGAGGCACUCUGAUGGCAGAAUUCCUUCUUGCUCAGGGGUCAGGCUUUUGUUCCAUUCAGGUCUUAAAUUCAUUGGAUGAAACCUACCUACAUUAUGGGGUGAGGGCUGUGGCAUGGUGGAUAAUCUAUUUUAUUCAAAGACCGCCAACUAAAAUGUUAAUUCCAUUUAAAAACACUGUCAGAGAAAUUUCCAGAAUAACGUUUGGCCACAUAUUUGGGCACCAUACCCUGCUAAGUUAACACAUAAAAAUUAACCACCACGGAGCCUUUUGGCAUUUUGUUUACCCUUAUAUUUGUAAGGCCAGCCCUUGUAUGUAACAGCUCUUGAAAGAUCUGGGCAUCUUACUCUCUCUUACAUACACUUGGAUGGGUAAUUCAAGGAAAGUUGCAUUUUAGAAAGAAACACUACAGUUGCACUAGCUGUGCCAUUGCAGAUUUUGUUUUGUUUUCUUUCCUGUUGGUUUUGCCUAUCUUUCAAAUGAUGUGCUUUAUUUUUCUGACAACUGGCUCUGAUGUGGAAACCAGGCAAAGCAUCAAGAUUUUUAUUGGUGUGACUGAUGUUAAGCUUUUGUUAAUCCAUUUUUAAUCUCUUUUAAAGAUAUAUAGCCUCAAGUCCUUGUCAAUUACCCCUCUAGCUUAAACCCAGGAAUACAUCAUUUUUAAGUUAUCUCUGCAAAAUCCUUGCAGAUCAGGGUCCACUGAAUAUUCUUUACAAUAAUUAUAUCCACCUUACUUUUCUUGUUUCUGUGCUAUCACCUAGCUUCUGCUCUUCUAGAACCCUAUCAGCCUCAGUGAUAGUAGGGAGUCCAAUUUCCUAAUGGUCUCACCUACUGUUGUCUCUGGCCUGCAAAGGAUACCCACGACUGAGCUUCUCACCAGUGCCAAUACCCUCCGCCUUCUUCACCAGCACAUUCCUUAUCAUCUUAGCAGGGGGGAUGUCUUUGGAGCCCUCUCGAAGAGCAUAGAUGAUAAUUUUUCAAGUUUUUGUAUAAUAGUUCCAUUCCAGCAUUCCAAUUUAUGAGUUUUUUAAUUUCUACCCAGCAAGUCUUUUCAUCUCUGCCAAAGCAGUUCUGGCAUCUCUGCUUCACUUAAUGUGGGCUAUUAUUUUUUUCCAACUGUUUUUAAAUGUUUACAAAAAUUUUAUUUAUUUUUGAGACAGUGAGACAGAGUGUAAGUGGGGGAGGGGCAGAGAGAAGGGGAGACAAAUAAUCCAAAGCAGGCUCUGGGCUCUGAGCUGUCGGCACAGAGGGUUUGUUGAACCCAUGAACCCGCAAGAUCAUGACCUGUGCUGAAAUUGGACGCUCAACCAACUGACCACACAGGAGCCCCUUUUCCAACCUUCUAAGAGUCAUUAUGGAGGCAUAUCAGAACCAGUUCCAUGAGUGCUGGCCGGGGUGUCAAGUCUUGAGAUUCAGGAGAGUUCCCCUACAGACACAAAAUCCACUAAUAGGCAUGAUCUCUCAGGUCCUGCCUGGUUAUAUGAUUCAGGUCUUCUUCAGUGUAUGAUCCCUGAAUAUACUCCCUCUGUCUCCUUAGCUGAUAUGGUGCUCCCCAGCAAGGCCAUGUUGAGACUUGACCUUAGUUAUCAGUCUGCUAUCCAGAGGGAACAUUUUGCAGCCAUCUGCUUCCCCUGAGGCCUCUGCAAAGUCUUUGGCCAAAAGAUUGACCAUGAGUCUGCACAGAGGGGAACAGGUUGUUUCUCUAGGCCCAGCUUCUCUGGGGGGAAUCUGGAGUUUUAAAGUUUGAUAAAUGUAACCAACUAUCACCACCCCAAGUCUAAGUUUUCCAAUUACUCUUUGUCAAAGCCCUGACUUUGGCAUUAGGGAUUUGCCAAGCCUGCAAAUUCAGCCUUGUCUCAAGUUCUGCUACUUCUAUAAUUCAGUUCUGUCCUCGGUGGUCACUACAUUUUGCCCUCUGGCCACUGGGGAAAGACCCUUUAAACACCGCUGUUUAAACUCCCAGGAUUUCAUGUAUUACCUUAAAUUGAGAUUGGGUCACAUUUUUCAUGUUCUCUCUUAAGUGCUUUGGUGAUGUUCAGCUGCCCUUAUAAUGUUUCCUUUUCCUUUACCUGUCAAAUCCCAGAGGUCCCCCACAACCUGUCUCAUCAGGACCUUGCCCAGUUCAGCAGAGAUAAAAGCCUUAGUGAUUGCAGUGCUAUCACGUGCCAGUAGUUACCAACAUUCCCUUUCUACCCCUACUGGUUUCCUCGUUGCCAGCUGCCCAGAGAGUGCUCCAACUCCAGAACCCUUUUCUUAGAAGCACUAGCUGUCUCAGGUCAGAUUUUCUAAAAGAAGUCUGCAAAGUUAAAGUGCAUAUUCGAAAGGUUUAGGAAGCAAGUGUUCCCAGGGGACACUGGUGAGUGGGGAAGGUAUGUUAAUAAAGAGAAGAAGCCAAGGUAGGACUCAACUUUUUUUAAUAUUUUAUUUAUUCUUGAGACAGAGAGAGACAGAGCAUGAGUCGGGGAGGGGCAGAGGGAGGUAGAGAAUCCCAAACAGGCUCCAGACUCUGAGCUGUCAGCACCGAACCCGACGCAGGGCCCGACCCCACGAACCGGGAGAUCAUGACCUGAGCCAAAGUUGGAUGCCCAACCGAUUGGGCCACCCAGGCGCCCCAUGGAAUCAAUUUCAUUUGAAAUUCCAUCCUUUAUCUGAUCUCGUGAGGAGUUCUAGAAUCUAAAAAACUCAGGUCUGUCCUAGUUGAAGAAAGAAAGCUGAGCUUUUGUUACCCCUUACCAAUUAUUUACUGGUGGUGAGCUGCUGUGGAAGAGGCAGCACAGUACAAUUCUCUGGGACUUCAAGAUCUCCGUAAAAACAAGUGCCCAAGAGUAUACUCUGAAGAAAGAUGGGUGUCAGUUGAAAAGGACUGGUGGAUUUCAUGGAAAGUGCUGGUUAUCCUGAUCUUUUGUUUUGGGGUAUGAGGAAAAGUUACUGAAAACACAUUUCCCAUCAUGCAUGGCUCCAUCCUUCACCCUUUUUUCAACAGGAGGAGUGAUUUAUCUGCCUUGAUGAAAGGGAUGUCUUUAACCUGCACUAAGAUCUGAGCAUUGACAUCUGCUGGGUGUCUGUAAACUGAGCCAGCAGGAGCCCCAGAGCAGCACUCUCUCAAAGUCUGCACAUUAAAUCAGCAGAGCCUUGGUGCGAGGACAUGAGUGCACCUUGUUGCCUGUUCUUUAUACUCAAAUCCUCUGUGAUCCCCACGGCCGACUUUUAAGUUGGGGAAUCUACUUGGAAACAUUAAGCAUUGAUAAGACCCUUCUUAAUAAUGCUGUAUGUUUCAAAUUUAAUGAUUACAUAAGAAGGGGGAUAAAAAGGUCACAUUGCCUUUGUUUUGCAUUUUGUGGGCCAGAUCUCAUUAUUUUAAAGGUCUCUGUAGUUUCUGAUAACUUCUGUGAACACAAUAAAAUGCUGAGAUUUUGUCUCCUCUGUUUUGUCUCCUUCUUGGCAACUUGUAGGUAAUGCUCCCCAGCUGUUCUCUAGCCCACUGUAUUAUCUUCUAUUCAGGCCUAAGAAAGACCUGU